AGUGAACGCUGGCGGUAGGCCUAGCACAUGCAAGUCGAACGGCAGCACAGUAAGAGCUUGCUCUUACGGGUGGCGAGUGGCGGACGGGUGAGGAAUACAUCGGAAUCUACUUUUUCGUGGGGGAUAACGUAGGGAAACUUACGCUAAUACCGCAUACGACCUACGGGUGAAAGCAGGGGAUCUUCGGACCUUGCGCGAUUGAAUGAGCCGAUGUCGGAUUAGCUAGUUGGCGGGGUAAAGGCCCACCAAGGCGACGAUCCGUAGCUGGUCUGAGAGGAUGAUCAGCCACACUGGAACUGAGACACGGUCCAGACUCCUACGGGAGGCAGCAGUGGGGAAUAUUGGACAAUGGGCGCAAGCCUGAUCCAGCCAUACCGCGUGGGUGAAGAAGGCCUUCGGGUUGUAAAGCCCUUUUGUUGGGAAAGAAAAGCAGCAGGUUAAUACCCCGCUGUUCUGACGGUACCCAAAGAAUAAGCACCGGCUAACUUCGCG
Molecule: ribosomal RNA, 492 nt
Filed under: uncultured bacterium
Lineage: Bacteria
Description: partial 16S ribosomal RNA
Rfam family: Bacterial small subunit ribosomal RNA
Source: RNAcentral